Molecule: ribosomal RNA, 489 nt
Filed under: uncultured bacterium
Lineage: Bacteria
Description: bacterial SSU rRNA
Rfam family: Bacterial small subunit ribosomal RNA
Source: RNAcentral
AGUCAAUAGAUACCCAGGUAGUCCAUGCCGUAAACGAUGAUUGCUAGGUGUGGGGGGUCUGACCCCUUCCGUGCCGGAGUUAAACACAAUAAGCAAUCCACCUGGGGAGUACGGCCGCAAGGUUGAAACUCAAAGGAAUUGACGGGGGCCCGCACAAGCAGUGGAGUAUGUGGUUUAAAUUCGAAGCAACGCGAAGAACCUUACCAGGUCUUGACAUCCACCGAAUCCUGUAGAGAUACGGGAGUGCCCUUCGGGGAACGGUGAGACAGGUGGUGCAUGGUUGUCGUCAGCUCGUGUCGUGAGAUGUUGGGUUAAGUCCCGCAACGAGCGCAACCCUUGUGAAUAGUUGCUACGAAAGAGCACUCUAUUCAGACCGCCGUUGACAAAACGGAGGAAGGUGGGGAUGACGUCAAAUCAUCAUGCCCCUUAUGACCUGGGCUACACACGUACUACAAUGGCCGUUAACAGAGGGAUGCAAUGCCGCGAGGU